CUGGCCGUAGCGUAAUGGUAUCGCAACAGACUGUAAAUCUGUAGAAUGUCGGUUCAAGUCCGACCGGUCAGA
This 72-nucleotide transfer RNA is filed under the name Promethearchaeota archaeon. Its description in RNAcentral is "Candidatus Lokiarchaeota archaeon (permafrost metagenome) tRNA-Tyr". It matches the Rfam family "tRNA". Rfam says of the family: Transfer RNA (tRNA) molecules are approximately 80 nucleotides in length. Their secondary structure includes four short double-helical elements and three loops (D, anti-codon, and T loops). The record is from RNAcentral. Lineage: Archaea; Promethearchaeati; Promethearchaeota.